UUUCACACCUAUCAGAUCAUGAGCCAUUUCAAGCCUUGCACACCUUUGAGGCAUUGAAGCUAGCUGAAAGCCCAUCUUCCCUUAAAGGUUCCCCUAUUAGAGUUAGCAUUAUUAUAUUAGCAUUUAUUCAACAAUCUCAAUGCAAAUAAUCAAGCAACCUGUACCAAACCCUUAAAGGUUGUGCUUAAGUUUUGAUUGAUCCAUUUUCCGUGAAUCUCAAAAAGCUUUAU
RNAcentral lists this long non-coding RNA (230 nucleotides) under Glycine max (soybean). Its description in RNAcentral is "long non-coding RNA (GMAX_LNC003539)". The record is from RNAcentral. Lineage: Eukaryota; Viridiplantae; Streptophyta; Magnoliopsida; Fabales; Fabaceae.